AGUUGUAUCAUCAAUGCAUCACA
RNAcentral lists this microRNA (23 nucleotides) under Echinococcus granulosus. Its description in RNAcentral is "egr-miR-10227d-3p". The record is from miRBase by way of RNAcentral. Lineage: Eukaryota; Metazoa; Platyhelminthes; Cestoda; Cyclophyllidea; Taeniidae.